Molecule: ribosomal RNA, 230 nt
Filed under: uncultured bacterium
Lineage: Bacteria
Description: partial 16S ribosomal RNA
Rfam family: Bacterial small subunit ribosomal RNA
Source: RNAcentral
CUCGUAGGCGGUUCGGUAAGUUGGGUGUGAAAACUCCAGGCUCAACCUGGAGAGGCCACUCAAUACUGCCGUGACUAGAGUUCGGUAGAGGAUCGUGGAAUUUCUGGUGUAGCGGUGAAAUGCGCAGAUAUCAGAAGGAACACCAACGGCGAAGGCAGCGAUCUGGGCCGAUACUGACGCUGAGGAGCGAAAGCAUGGGGAGCAAACAGGAUUAGAUACCCUGGUAGUCC